AAGACUAUACUUUCAGGGAUCAUUUCUUUAGUUGUUGCCUUGAGAAAUGUGUUUUGGAAGAGCUCGGUCUCGCUGUCCGAUGAAGAGUUCUGAUGUUUCUUUCAGAGCAGGAUACUGGUGGGAAGACUUUAUUUCUUCUCCACUGUUGAAGAUUGCUCAGAGUUUCUCAAACACUCUAAUGGUGGAAACAUUAUCUGAGUGGA
Molecule: small nucleolar RNA, 203 nt
Filed under: Labrus bergylta (ballan wrasse)
Lineage: Eukaryota; Metazoa; Chordata; Actinopteri; Labriformes; Labridae
Description: Small nucleolar RNA U3 (ENSLBEG00000005409.1)
Rfam family: Small nucleolar RNA U3
About the family: Small nucleolar RNAs (snoRNAs) are involved in the processing and modification of rRNA in the nucleolus. There are two main classes of snoRNAs: the box C/D class, and the box H/ACA class. U3 snoRNA is a member of the box C/D class.
Source: Rfam by way of RNAcentral